This is a non-coding RNA of Nicotiana tabacum (common tobacco), 1553 nucleotides long. The record is from RefSeq and is a predicted model, not a curated record. NCBI's taxonomy places the organism in Eukaryota, Viridiplantae, Streptophyta, Magnoliopsida, Solanales, Solanaceae.
AGGGUGCUUUUCUCCAAAUUGACAAUACACACAUUAUUUAUAGAAGAGAGGGAGUGAGCAGGAAAUGAGAGAGAGAUCUGGAUCACGAUAGCUUUUCUUCACCAUCAUCACAAAUGUUCUUUUUCUUUUCCGUUUUCACCAUGGGAGUUCACGGAAAACACUAGAAAAUCUCCAUUAAACACUCCAAACUUCACUGAUCUUCCUCACUAACCCAUAACAUCCUUUCACCAAUAUAUACCAUCUCAAGCUACAAAAAACACAGAUGAAGCAGUAGCCGAAUCAGUUGUAAAACGCAGCACUCAAACCAGCCAAAAACCUCAUUUAAAAGCACCUCGAAGCUUCCUCCGUUUUCGAGUCGAGUUCGGCAUCGUCGUUCGAGCUCCGGUCUUGGUUCGAGAUAUUCGUACAUUUAGCUCAAGUUUUCUGGCCAAUUGUUUUGUUUGUUUUGGUUGUUGAUUCAAAGAGCUGACCUUCAAUGGAGUUUUUUCAUGUUUAAAAUAAAGAAAGUUGCUAUUAAAAGACAAUGGGUAAGCAAAAAGGAAAGGGAUCUAAACAACUCGGCUGAGGUGAAUCCUCCCAGGGUGGAAAGUAGAAAAUGGUACGACUCACUCUCCAAGCGAGGCAAAACAUCAAGAAUAUGAGAAAGCCAAAAAAGCAGCUGAUAGGGCCAUUGACAUGUCGGGGAGUGAGUAUGAGCCCUCCCAGGAAAUCUCUUCGGAUCUAUACCUGAAUACAUCCCUUACUGGCCGGAUAGGCUUCGAUUGAGACACUCCUCCACCAUCAUCCACUGCCCAAGCACCAACUCAUGUUUCUUCUGGAUUGUCUGAGGGCUCAACAGCCAAUAGUGGGGAAUACUCCACCUCUCCCACAACUUCAUUAUCCGGGGAGGGUGCAGAAGGAGGUGAGGUGGAAGUACAGGGAAAUGAGGAGGUAGCUGAAGGAGGUGAGCCUCAGGUGGGAGGCGUUGCUAGAACUAGGAAGCCCGAAGCUUGGGAGGAUAGGUUUGUAAGUGAAGUGGCAUACCAUAAGUUUAGGGAGUGGUGGCCGGUGAGAAAGUUGAUACUGGAGCGGAGUUUCAUUGACAAAGACUUACUACCCCACAACCCCAAUAUGUAGAGACAAUUUAGAACUACAGUGGGUUGGGAGCACUUCCUAGAUGCUUGUGUGGAUGCCAACGAACACUUGGUCAAGGAGUUUUAUUGCAAUGUAGCCCACAUCAAAAAGGGCUCCAAAGUGACCAAGGUGCGGAACUUCAAGGUGUUAUUUGAUGGGAAGUCGAUUAAUGAAUAUCUGGGCUUCAAUGAGGAGGAUGAGACUCUGUAUAUAUGGAGAUAGGCAAGGAGGUCCGUCCAUGGCUAGCAUAGUACCUGGCAAUCCCAAGUACCGUCCCCGAUUGGUUGAUUGCUGGGGUCAAAAUAUUGAGAAGGACCUUGAACUUUGAAGCGAGGGGAUGGGAGAGUUUUGUUUGCAGCCGGUUGGACCCUACCACUCAUGACAACACCCUUCCUCUCCACCAGACUGUAUUGGUUGCUUCGAUUAUGGCAGGGUAACCC